ACUUCCUUGUUUCACAUUUGCCGUUCAGGGUACGUUGUCUCUUGCCCCGAGACGCACCAUGGAAGCGCCUGUCUGCUCCGACUUGGAUGGGACCUUUAGACGAUUAUUUAAACAUAUAUGAAGACAGAAAAGCCACGAAACCCACAGGACAGCCAAUCUCCUAAAGCCGUAGACCAUGCCUUUGAGAAACAGUGAAACAUCAGUCAACGUGGUACAUUUGUACGUGGAUAGAGAAAGUCUGGAAUAAAUUAGCAGCAUCAAUAACUUCUGGCAAAGGGAUGAGAUAAGCACAUGAAGAGAUACUUCAAAUUUUUGUUCUACUUACUUCUGUGUAGUUUGGAUUUUUAAAAAAAUUAAAAAAAAAUCUC
Molecule: long non-coding RNA, 368 nt
Organism: Felis catus (domestic cat)
Lineage: Eukaryota; Metazoa; Chordata; Mammalia; Carnivora; Felidae
Exons: 2
Source: RefSeq, a predicted model, not a curated record